GUGCUCAUUUUGGCAGCUCACAUACUAAAACUGGAAUAAUCCAAAGAUUAGCUUGGUCCCUUGAAAGGGUGACAUGAAAAUUCGUGAAUCAUUCCAAACGCAC
This is a small nuclear RNA of Aotus nancymaae (Ma's night monkey), 103 nucleotides long. The record is from Ensembl. Lineage: Eukaryota; Metazoa; Chordata; Mammalia; Primates; Aotidae.